RNAcentral lists this ribosomal RNA (253 nucleotides) under uncultured bacterium. Its description in RNAcentral is "partial 16S ribosomal RNA". It matches the Rfam family "Bacterial small subunit ribosomal RNA", at positions 524 to 776 of the family's 1533-position model. The record is from RNAcentral.
UACGAAGGGUGCAAGCGUUACUCGGAAUUACUGGGCGUAAAGCGUGCGUAGGUGGCGCGUUAAGUCGGAUGUGAAAGCCCCGGGCUCAACCUGGGAAUGGCAUCCGAUACUGGCGGGCUAGAGUUCGAUAGAGGGUCGUGGAAUUCCCGGUGUAGCGGUGAAAUGCGUAGAGAUCGGGAGGAACAUCAGUGGCGAAGGCGGCGACCUGGAUCAGAACUGACACUGAGGCACGAAAGCGUGGGGAGCAAACAGG